Molecule: unclassified non-coding RNA, 377 nt
Filed under: uncultured Actinomycetes bacterium
Lineage: Bacteria; Bacillati; Actinomycetota; Actinomycetes
Description: uncultured actinobacterium contains 16S-23S intergenic spacer region
Source: RNAcentral
UCCGGCUCUACGCCGGCAGUCUCCUUAGAGUCCCCGGCAUUACCCGCUGGCAACUAAGGACGGGGGUUGCGCUCGUUGCGGGACUUAACCCAACACCUCACGGCACGAGCUGACGACAGCCAUGCAGCACCUGUCAGGGGCCCUUACGGACCUUGCAUCUCUGCAAGUUUUCCCCUGAUGUCAAGCCCAGGUAAGGUUCUUCGCGUUGCAUCGAAUUAAGCCACAUGCUCCGCCGCUUGUGCGGGUCCCCGUCAAUUCCUUUGAGUUUUAGCCUUGCGGCCGUACUCCCCAGGCGGGGUGCUUAAUGCGUUAGCUUCGGCACGGACCACGUCGAUAGCAGCCCACACCUAGCACCCAUCGUUUACGGCUAGGACUAC